This 262-nucleotide ribosomal RNA is filed under the name uncultured bacterium. RNAcentral describes it as "partial 16S ribosomal RNA". It matches the Rfam family "Bacterial small subunit ribosomal RNA", at positions 524 to 777 of the family's 1533-position model. The record is from RNAcentral.
UACGUAGGGUGCGAGCGUUGUCCGGAAUUAUUUGGGCGUAAAGAGCUUGUAGGUGGUUUGUCGCGUCUGCUGUGAAAAUCCGAGGCUCAAACCUCGGACUUGCAGUGGGUACGGGCAGACUAGAGUGUGGUAGGGGAGACUGGAAUUCCUGGUGUAGCGGUGGAAUGCGCAGAUAUCAGGAGGAACACCGAUGGCGAAAGGCAGGUCUCUGGGCCAUUACUGACACUUGGAGAAACGAAAAGCAUGGGGGAGCGAAACAGGG